GAUGAACGCUGGCGGCGUGCCUAAUACAUGCAAGUUGAGCGAACGGACGAGAGGCUUGCUUCUCUGAUGUUAGCGGCGGACGGGUGAGUAACACGUGGAUAACCUACCUAUAAGACUGGGAUAACUUCGGGAAACCGGAGCUAAUACCGGAUAAUAUUUUGAACCGCAUGGUUCAAAAGUGAAAGACGGUCUUGCUGUCACUUAUCGAUGGAUCCGCGCUGCAUUAGCUAGUUGGUAAGGUAACGGCUUACCAAGGCAACGAUGCAUAGCCGACCUGAGAGGGUGAUCGGCCACACUGGAACUGAGACGCGGUCCAGACGCCUACGGGAGGCAGCAGUAGGGAAUCUUCCGCAAUGGGCGAAAGCCUGACGGAGCAACGCCGCGUGAGUGAUGAAGGUCUUCGGAUCGUAAAACUCUGUUAUUAGGGAAGAACAUAUGUGUAAGUAACUGUGCACAUCUUGACGGUACCUAAUCAGAAAGCCACGGCUAACUACGUG
Molecule: ribosomal RNA, 497 nt
Filed under: uncultured bacterium
Lineage: Bacteria
Description: partial 16S ribosomal RNA
Rfam family: Bacterial small subunit ribosomal RNA
Source: RNAcentral